This is a non-coding RNA of Salmo salar (Atlantic salmon), 54 nucleotides long. The record is from Rfam. Lineage: Eukaryota; Metazoa; Chordata; Actinopteri; Salmoniformes; Salmonidae.
UGCAUUCACUACUGUAAGUCGCUCUGGAUAAGAGCGUCUGCUAAAUGACAAAUG